GAUUAUUUAGUUUAUUAAAAACAGAUAUUUUGAAAAUAUCUAUAAAGAAUAUUUAACUUCUUAAUAAUCG
RNAcentral lists this transfer RNA (70 nucleotides) under Carpilius convexus. RNAcentral's name for it is "tRNA-Ser". The record is from RNAcentral. Lineage: Eukaryota; Metazoa; Arthropoda; Malacostraca; Decapoda; Carpiliidae.